RNAcentral lists this long non-coding RNA (786 nucleotides) under Equus asinus (donkey). RNAcentral's name for it is "lncRNA (ENSEASG00005036536.1)". Lineage: Eukaryota; Metazoa; Chordata; Mammalia; Perissodactyla; Equidae. The record is from RNAcentral.
GCUCGGGCUCGGCGCGGACCCGCCCGGGCGCACUCCUUCCGCUGGCGUCCGGCGUCCUGCCGCCCUGCGCGGAGCCGGCCAGCGGUCUCCGCCACCCCUGAGGGCGCUCCCGGCCCCCAGCGCGGAGGCUCGCGGGCGGAGGUCGCAACGAGAGGCUGGACCGCGGUGGCGCGCGGCUCGCCUUCCCGCAGGUGUUCCUUUGAUACAGCGGAAGGUGCCUCUGCUCUUCUGCCUGAGAGUGGUUCAAAAUGUCCUUCUGGAGUGCAACCUGCUCACCUGAACUUCCCACCGAUUCCGAAUGAAGAAGGAGGCAGGACAUCUCUUUUUGUCUCCAGAACAAAGAUGCAGAGUCUCAGCAGUACCAACAGGUUGCACUCAGAUACAGCAGUCCAUCGCAAGGAGGAGCUUCGCCUCUGCGAGAUUAAUCACGAGCCGGGACCACGCGUCUGGCUGGGAUGCGUGAUUGAUCCUGCCGGAGGAAAUGCAGUGGGAAGCUAAUGCUGCCUUUUAUCCAGGAAGCAAAGUUCAGAGAUGUUUGCAUUCUGCUAGGUAAGCAUGGCUUUCUCGACACCCAGGCUAGACGGACUGCCCUCUCAGCAGGAAUUCUCGCCAAGGCAACACACAGGUGUGCCUCAGUGGACUGCCUGAGCCACAGAGGCUAGAGGGUCAGAAUGGCUCCUUUGGCAAAUAGCUUGAUUCCAUCAUAUUUUAAUUCCUAUGAAGUAUCGUAAACCCAUUGUAUUCAAGAGACUGCCAAAUGAAAACUGGACUAAGACCUGUGUAGUA